RNAcentral lists this transfer RNA (73 nucleotides) under Candidatus Kaiserbacteria bacterium CG10_big_fil_rev_8_21_14_0_10_45_20. RNAcentral describes it as "tRNA-Thr". It matches the Rfam family "tRNA". Rfam says of the family: Transfer RNA (tRNA) molecules are approximately 80 nucleotides in length. Their secondary structure includes four short double-helical elements and three loops (D, anti-codon, and T loops). Further hydrogen bonds mediate the characteristic L-shaped molecular structure. tRNAs have two regions of fundamental functional importance: the anti-codon, which is responsible for specific mRNA codon recognition, and the 3' end, to which the tRNAs corresponding amino acid is attached (by aminoacyl-tRNA synthetases). tRNAs cope with the degeneracy of the genetic code in two manners: having more than one tRNA (with a specific anti-codon) for a particular amino acid; and 'wobble' base-pairing, i.e. permitting non-standard base-pairing at the 3rd anti-codon position. Lineage: Bacteria; Candidatus Kaiseribacteriota. The record is from RNAcentral.
GCCGCCUUAGCUCAGUUGGUAGAGCAAUGGUAUCGUAAACCAUAGGUCCCGAGUUCGAAUCUCGGAGGCGGCU